This 431-nucleotide ribosomal RNA is filed under the name uncultured bacterium. RNAcentral's name for it is "partial 16S ribosomal RNA". It matches the Rfam family "Bacterial small subunit ribosomal RNA", at positions 29 to 507 of the family's 1533-position model. The record is from RNAcentral.
AACGAACGCUGGCGGCAGGCCUAACACAUGCAAGUCGAGCGCCCCGCCAGGGGAGCGGCUGCCUGGUGAGUAACGCGUGGUAUUAUUCCCUUUUCUACUUAAUAGUCUCGUUAUACUUGUGUUAAUACCGUAUACGCCCUUUUGUGGAAAGAUUUAUCGGCUAAGGAUUAGCCCGCGUUUGAUUAUGUAGUUGGUUGUGUAAUGGCCUACCAUGCCGACGAUCCAUAGAUGGUUUGAGAGGAUGAUCAGCCACACUGGGACUGAGACACGGCCCAGACUCCUACGGGAGGAAGCAGUGGGGAAUCUUAGAAAAUGGGGGGAACCCUGAUAAAGCCAUGACGGGUGAGUGAUGAAGGCCUUAGGGUUGUAAAGCACUAUCAGCUGGGAAGAUAAUGACGGUAACAGAAGAAGAAGCACCGGCUAACUCCGUG